Daphnia carinata is the source of this 448-nucleotide long non-coding RNA. RefSeq lists it as uncharacterized. The transcript is spliced from 3 exons. NCBI's taxonomy places the organism in Eukaryota, Metazoa, Arthropoda, Branchiopoda, Diplostraca, Daphniidae. The record is from RefSeq and is a predicted model, not a curated record.
CUUGGGACCUCAUCGUAGCCAGUCACCCUAUUCGAAUAACGACGAGUUUGCAAACGGCACUACGAUGCAGAAAAUGAAAGUUCUGGUACUAGCCUGUAUCGUGUUGGUUGCGUUGUUUGAAGUAGCGUCAGCCUGUGAUUGUAAUUACCACUCGGGUGGCUGCGCUAUGGUGAGACCAGCCCCACCUGGCAGGGCGUGCAAAUGCGUUUACCGAGGCUUUUGGACAUGCCGUGGUCGUACCGUCGGAUGCGGCGACCAAAAUCACCAUCUUUGCCGAAAUCCCGAUACCUCAAAGGCUGCGUGCCAUUUCGGCAAUGGAAACUGUGGUGGUUAUUAAGCGGAAACUUCUACACGGAGCGGCAUUCACCACCUGAAUCGACAAUUUAAAAAAUUUGUUAGAAUGAAGGUUUAUUUUUAUUUCAUAAUACACGUUUGCAAUAUUCUGUAA